UACGUAGGGGGGCAAGCGUUGUCCGGAUUUAUUGGGCGUAAAGAGCGUGUAGGCGGCCAGACAGGUCCGUUGUGAAAACUCGAGGCUCAACCUCGAGAUGUCGAUGGAAACCGUCUGGCUAGAGUCCGGAAGAGGAGUGUGGAAUUCCUGGUGUAGCGGUGAAAUGCGCAGAUAUCAGGAAGAACACCUAUGGCGAAGGCAGCACUCUGGGACGGUACUGACGCUGAGACGCGAAAGCGUGGGAGCGAACAGG
Molecule: ribosomal RNA, 253 nt
Filed under: uncultured bacterium
Lineage: Bacteria
Description: partial 16S ribosomal RNA
Rfam family: Bacterial small subunit ribosomal RNA
Source: RNAcentral